Molecule: long non-coding RNA, 8410 nt
Organism: Cygnus atratus (black swan)
Lineage: Eukaryota; Metazoa; Chordata; Aves; Anseriformes; Anatidae
Exons: 3
Source: RefSeq, a predicted model, not a curated record
CGGGGCGGUGUCGCUUCCAUCAGGGCGACUGCUUCGGGCUCCGUCUGGUCGCGGCGGGGAUGUGUGAAUAAAAGGCGUCAUUUUCCUAACAGCGACCCCCUAAUCCCCGCUUUAUAUCGCCUACGGGCUCUUCUGCGCCUCAAGGAGCCAGCCCUGGGGCUCGUUGCCUGAAUCCUUCGUGUCCAGGCUGCCUUUGAGAACUGUAAAAUGCCCAGAAAAGCUGAGGGGGAAAUGGCCAUGGCGCCAUGGCGGUGCUGAGGGGACCCUGUGUGCCAGGAUGAGGUGGUGCGGUCCUCGGCAGGGCUGUGGGGCAGGAAGGAAGCCUGUGUUGUGUAAGGAGCUGACCUGACGUGGCUGCUGGGCUGGAGGAGCAAUAAAGAUAAAGUGCACCAGCUGAGUCCCAAAUCAAAGCAGGGAGUUGUGAGAAGUGGCCAUCUUCAAAAAAAUUUUUCUCCAGCCUAAGCUACUUACAAGCGGUAGCAGUGUGUUAGUUAAGGGAGCAAGUCGACGUUUCUGUCAAGUGCUUGAGGUCGGUCUCAGAUCACCAUGCCACAGUCCCACUCGUUCUCAUCUGAAGGACCUGCUUCCCCUGUAUUUCUGCAAAUGGCCUGAAUUCAUCCUGCCUUUAGCCCAUGAAUCACCCAGGAGCCCCAGCCUACCAGCUUUCCCAAGCGGCAGAAGACCUGUGGUAAGAAACCUCUCAUCUAGCCGGACCAUCAUGACCUGCAUGACCAAGUUCUCUCAGCCUCUGAUGAGAAAUCCCACCUUUUCCAAAGCAAACACAGACAGGCUCAGCUCGUUGGACAAUGCCCCAAGCAGACUGACAAAAUCUUGUUUGAGGGGGAGGAGAGCUGCCAGAACAGAAACCGGAGUUGCUGAGCUCCAGUCGACUGCUGUCACUGUUCCCAGCUUAAUUCACUGCCAGUGAUCCCAUGGUUAACACAGUCAUUGUGGAUAUUUUUUCUAGCAGCUCAACCCUUCAUAAUGUCGCAGAAGUAAGAUCUUUCCAGAGAUUAUGUAUUUGGACUUCUCUUCUUCAAAUAUCUUGAGAUUAUCAUUCUCCAUAUGUGUUUGAAGUAGUACAUAUUGGCUGCUCUUUGCUAGUGCCUAAAACAUUGCUAAGACUACAGGAAGCUACUGUUCUGACUGGGUGGGUAACUGAGCAGCAUUUAUGCAUUCUUGUCUUUACUCCUCUCUCUGCAUAAGUUUUUGUUCCCACAAGUAAUCCUAGUCAGAGUAGAUUUUAGUUAUUCCAUUUGCUCAAGAACCUCUGAAUGGGGCCUCUUGGACACAGCAGCUUUGUCUCCCCUCUACCCAUACGUACAUAGGAGGAGAGAUUGUCUUGAUGUUCAAAGCAGUGUGUAACAGAAACAAGCAGCAUUUUGUUCUCAGAAAUAAUCAUUGCUUAUACGAAGUUUUUUGAACAGUGCAUUUCAGAAUGCAUUCCACUUCUUGUCUCAUGGCAAGAGGAAUUGGGCUUUACUCUCUGGGGUCUGAUUAUCACUGCACUUGGAACACAGGUCUCCUGUUGAAGUACUGAUACGGAGCAGGUGCUUUGAAGACUCAGGGAUAUUUCUGUUGGAGAAAGCAGAUGAGUGAGUCCUAAUCAGUUAGUUUACAAUGAUAUACAUUUAUAGAUCUGUGUGUAUCCAUCCAUACUGAAAAAAAAAAAAAACACACAAGGAUAUUUGAGAAGAGGGAGCCCAAUAGCUCUGUAAAAUAAGCGUGCUGAGAAGCCCAGAGAUGUAGAGAUGAGUAGGUCACCUCCUCAAAGAAGCCUUCAGUGACCACUUCCCUUCUUAAAGUGCUCAGACUUGUUUCCACCCUUGGACUAGCUUUUCAAGUACGGUUUUAAAGUUUGGGUUGUAAAAAAAUGCACAUACAAAAGAAUUCAUUCCAGAUCAGUAGCAUACUGCAAAUUAACAACAUUUGAAAGAGCAGCUUGAAGUCCACUGAAAAUAUGACUCUAAUGGACAUCAUCUGAUCAGCUGGUAUGGACAGGCAAAGUUUCAUAUGAUACAUAAUUUACAAUAGUCCAUAAAAAAGCAGCAGUUUAUUAAAGGAAGAUGACAAUGGAGGAAAGAUGAACCACAGGGGCAAAAAUAGAACCUUUUAAUAAUUGCAGAGAUGAGGCAUUACCAGAUUUAGAAAACAGGUAGGCAGGCCAAGGGAGAACAGACUCAGGAGGAACCACGACAAAGCAAUUGGUGAAUAGAUAUGCAAAUGUUCCAAGGCAACCAUCUUGAGUAUUUACAUCACCAGUAGGAUAUCUCCUGCAUAUUCUAAGCACGUAGCAGAAAUGUUAUGAUCUAUCAAGAACUAUAACCACUGGGUUAUAAAAUUCUGCAUUAUAUCAAGGUAGUCUUGUAUUUUGAGUAUUUAAACACUGAAUAAUUGCAGUCUUUUCAGCACUAUACAUUUUCUAAGCAAACUUCUCAUGUGCCCCCAUUCACUUUUGACUGAACUGACUUUUGACUGAACUGAAUCAGUUUUGCUUAGUUUAUAUUUUACCUUUUUUUUUUUUAGCUAACAGAUUUGCAGUUUUAUUAGUCAAUGUCAAUUAGGUAGCAGGAGGUGCUGGUUUGUUAUGUUAGCAAUGACAGAGGUACUCAGAUUCUGUAAACUAUUGCUUAAAAUGCUAUUUGUUAGAGCUAGCACUAUGAAGAAAGAGAGGACAGCAUAGAUCGUUCUACAUACUUUCAGAUGCUGUGAAGACCAAGCUAUGCUAUGAACAUGCCUCUGAUUCACAUAGAGCACACUGUGCAGACCCUGUCCAUGGAAAACUUAUCCCAUUUUGCUCACUUGGGCUAUUAAAAAAAAUUUAUUACAAGAAAACUGUUCAUCAUUUCUACUGUCAAGCAGAAAGGAUGUUCACAUGAGAAGUUGCUGCACUUUUAAAUAAAGACAAGGACACACAGGUGGUGUAAUCACCAAUACCAAGUGGGAGCUGCAUGCAGGCCCCUCUAUUACAAUCACCUCGCCAAACUUCCCCUGCAACCAGAGGUUAUGUGCAGAACACAGGCAUGAAUCCAAGCUGUACAGACAGCACCCUGCACCUAUUCAGAUUAAGUGCUAAGAGUUAUGUGUAGCACUAACUCCUCGUUGUGCAACAGUCUUCACGUCAGGAUCACUGCAGAUAACUAUUAGAAAUACCAUGCAGAUCAACAGUAUAUACACCACUAAAACGAUAAGUUUCCUUGCACUUCCUUGUAAGCAUUGUUUAGAAACAUCUUAAGCAUCAUCAGGUCACUGCUGAUUUCUUAAGUUUGAAAUUGGUUUUCAGUUACUACACAAUUUCUAAGUCUCACUAUGCAUUUAUCAUGUGCUUCAUCUCCUUAUCCAAGCUUAACUCAUUUUUAACAGGGGGAAGAAGGCAGCCAAGAUCCAAGUAUUGAUUAUUUCUGGCUUAUCCAUCACAGGAAGCUUAAAUAAUUAAAAGGUUGCUGGCAGUUGAAUUGAUGAUCAUCAAAUAUUGUGUUUUAACUUCAUCUGACUGAGAGCAGCCAUGCUACAAACCCAGAUUCAAUUAGGUUUCCUCAGCUCUCCAGUUUGAUACACAAACUGAUGGAGUUAGGUUGGAAGGAAGUUCUGAAGGUCACCUAGUCCCAGACCCUGCUCUAAUCCACUGUGUCAAGGUUGGGCAUCUAGUUAUUGGGUCUGGGAGAGCAGCAAUUGUAGAGGUAGUUUAUUCUGCAACCACCUCAUAAUGCAGGGCUUCUUUUUCUGUAGAAGGUGAUAUUAUCAAGUCCCAGAGUCACUGUAUAGACUACAUGAACCACUGGCUAAUGCAGCAGUCCUUAUGAUCCUAGAGGGCAAAUUCUGUUUACUAGAAUACCAACUGCAUUCACAGAUGCAGAUUGGUAUUUCUGGAGAUGUGAAAAUACUUCCAGUGUGGGUUUUUUUUAUUUUUUUUAAUUUUAUUUUUUUAUACAAUUUACUCUGGAUGUCUUGGUUAAACACAAACAUCUAGUCAUUUCUAUUCCAUUUCCAUGCACAGCUUUGUUUGCUUUAUGAACUUUUUGGUUUACUAUUAACCCUAGUUCCUUCUUUCUAGUCUACAGCUGAGAGGUUCUAAUUAAAACUUCAGAUGAUCUACCGAUUGCUUAAAAAAAAAAAAAAAAAAGCCUUUUGUAUCUCCUACACUAUUUUCCACUCCAUUCCUUGGCAAAUUUUAGUUUGCACUUUUUUUUUUAUGACUGUGGAACAUGGUUAAAGAGUGUCAGUAUAUUGUUUGUAAUAGUGGAAAAUGUUUUUUUGGGGAAUGUUAAUUUAGAACCCAAUGAGAUGUAUUAAUAGUAUCCCCUCUGGUGUUAUAGUAAAAUUCAUCUUUCUGAUGCUGCUUCAUUUAUGUCUCCCUGACGAUUCUCUGUUGUGGACUGAACUAAAUUACUUUGUGCCACCAUCAAAUCUGCCAUCUGCCAACUCAUGUGACUACUUCCGUAGUCCGGGAUGGAGUCUGUGCCAUCUUUUGGGCAUCAAAACCUGAAUAUCUAUCCUCACUCAUUUUCUCAUAGCCAGCUUUUACUCCAUGGCAGUACUUCUCUGUUGUAUUUACGUAGGCUACGCUGGCAGCAUUGCUUGCUUUUAUAACACGAGUAAGGGACUCCAUACAUCAGAACAGCAUUUUUUUCCACUACAGCGAGUCAAGAUGGAUCAUAACAGUGUCUUGUAAGACUGCUUUACCAGUAUAGAAAAGUGAAACCAGCAAAGCAUUGCCACAGUGGAUGACUCUAGCAGCAACGCAACAUUGUAGGAUGGCAGCAAAAUCCACCAUCCAGACACAAAUCUAAUACUUGGACCCACAUCCACGCUAAGAUUCCUGUAACACUGAGAAGCUGCACAAGGCAACUCUAACUAGCACAACUAUCACCGUCAUGUUCUGAAGUACAGCCUCAAACAACAAUAUUUUCACAUCUGGUGGUAUAUUUGACCUGUCAGUUUCAACCUCUUUUUUUUCCUCCAAAUUUAAUAGUAUUGUCACACAAGCGAUUUCCACAUUAAAAAGGGAUAACUGCAGAAUUGGAACAUAAAUUCUGCAAAUUCUCUCAACAGAUUACUCUGACAGCACAGACUGCUCAAGGUUUCCAAGGCAGGAAGAUUCACCUUCAUGCACAGCUUUAAAUGUAAGCCUGGGCUCAGCAACUGCAGCCAGUCAGUACAACUACACAGCUGUGAUGCGUCUUCACACAAACUAGGAUGCUCUGUUAGGCCCACCUUAACAUACAUAUAAAGAAAAGAAUCCAGAAAUCAUUUUAAUAUAAAAUGUUUUUAUUGUUUUUGAAAACAUUUAAAAAACAAUUUUUGAGCACUUUCAAUAAAAAAAAUAACUGAAAUGCUACUGCAAUAUUCAACUACUGUAGUUUCAGCAGUACAACAGACAAAACACUGGGGAAGAGGAGGGAAACUGGAUUUCCUGCAUUAAAUGAAAACAUGGAACAGGGAUUUUUCUUUCCUUACGGUGCAGUAAAUAAAGCACAGUAUAGUACAAGACUAUUAUAUGAACGUCAGAUGCACUGCACAAGAAAUGCUUUCCUUCUUUUCAGUUCAGAAGUCAGUGCUUAUUGCAAUUAUUUGCAAAUUAUUUACUUCAUGAAUUCUUAUCAUGAUAAAAUGAUGCAAAAAUGUUUCUCAACACCCGAACAAUAAAAAAUAAUCCAAGAAAAGAACAUAUUCAACAAUAACUAAGCUGAAUUAGUUAACAUAAAGAAGUAAAUAACUUGUGAAUAACUAUGCUCACAUGGUUAACACUGGUUAACCAGUUUCAAUACAGCAAAAUAAAAAAAAUAAAAGUGGUUACAGGAGUAUAUCUAGUACUGUACAAGAUUAAGUCAUUAACACUCAUGCACAUUUUGUGAUCAUGUAUUAACAUGGUGAAGCAAACUAAAUUUAAUUUUUCCUGCUGUAAUAUUCUCAUGUAAGAGAAUAAGAAAUAGACAUAUCUCAUUGAGAUCAAUGCACAUUGCUACAUAAGACAAUUUCACCUGUCACUUUUAAUGACAUUUUGCCUUUUAAUAAUGAAACACAUUAGAAAUUUUUUUUUGUUUUAUUUUUUUUUAAUUUUUUUGUGUGUGUUUUUUGUUUUGUGUUUUUUGUUAUUUUAUUAUUAUUUUUUUAAUCUGUGGGCUGUAUUUCUUGCAUUUAUCCUAAGGAACGUGCCUGCCACAGGUUCAACAGAAUUUUAGUGCAAUAUAUGAACCCAGAAAGUUUGCUGGACUAACCAACCAAAUUUAAAGUGUUUGCUGCAAUACAGUACACAGGGUACAAAUUCACUAGUUCAUAUACUUUAGCAAAAAUUGCUAUCAAAAUCAUUUAUUUCUAAUGUUAGCAGGAAGCCAAUUAUGUAAACAAGGGGUCAGAACUAUCUCAAAUUCUUAGUUUUGGAGUAUCUGACACAGGCUUCCGUUUGUUAAAAAUCACAGAAUUUUCCUUUGGGUAUUGCAUACUUUGGUGUGCAGUAGUGCUCUGUCUCAAUGUAAAGAACUAACUAGCACUAAGUAUAGGGACCUAACAGAAUAUUAGUCAUAACACCAACAUACAAACACCUAUAAAUUAACACACACCUAUGUACAAAGCUGUGCCUAUGCCUUGGGUUUCACUUGAAAGAAUCCUUACUGAAUUGAACGUUUCUUAAAUUUAACAUACAUUUGCUUUAAAUCCACUGAUUAUAGAAUAUGCCUACUAAUUAAGUCACAUGUUAGGUUCAAUAUAAUGUUUGUAUUUAAAAAUAAUUUAAAAGGUACUUUUAAAAACCUUUGGUGACGGCUGCAUAAUUUAUAGUGCAUCAGCUUUUUAAAUCUACUCUUGCUUUACUGAGAAAUGUUCUGAAGAACCAGAAGUUAGGCAAGAACUUGUUUACAGCAAGCCCAUGUCAGUCUCAGUGCCAGCGCCAUGGAGGUGAGGCCAGCACAGCAUGCAGACGCAGAUGGCUGCGGCACAGACGUCCUGCCCACCACUCUCCCCUGGCAGGUAGGGUUUACAUAUUCACAGCACUUUGCACAGGGUCAGAAAAGAGAGGUGCUGAAUGUGUCUCAGAUCCAGUGAAGUCAACAAGAGGAUGAUCAGCACCUUUCUGGCUAAAGGCCACAGACAGGUAGACAAUUCACGCCCUGCCUUCAGCAACUUCUGUCUAAAGGAAAAAUGGUUCCAGCCUUACUGACAGGCACCUAACAGAACUCUACACUGCGGUUUUUAGAGUCCUCCCCACUUCCUUGAAAAAAAAUUAAAAGGGUCACUUGGUCUUAAAGUAAACCACACCAUCGCACAUCCACAUGUUUUAAGGAAGGAUCUGAACUCUCCAAGUCUGUUCCUAAUGAAGCGUCAAAACUUCUGAUGCAAGCACAGUGAAAUCAGGCUGCAUUUAAGGUGCUAUAGCUUAUCGCAACUGUUUGUCCCUGAAGAAGAGGCCACAGACUGGGUGUCAAUCAGAGCAAGAGCAAAAAAAGCCAUGGUACACCAGUACCUGGGGUGCCAAUGCAAUAUCACAAAUUGAAUCAAGCACAGCCAAAAAAUAAAAAUCCAGUACUGAGAUCAAGACAUUAGCAGAAUCUGAAGAAGGAGGGGAAAAAAAAGUCACCUAAAAAUGUGAGCAUCUCUUCCUCAAUAAAUCUAGGAGGGCUUAUUGUGCCUUCCCAUUCAUAAGUUCAUGACUGCUCAUUCAAAGAAGUAAUUCAAGAGAGGAAAACGUUUUCUGUUCUGCUUUCAGUUCUGUACAUAUCAGUUCACAAGAUAAAUAAUCAAUUUUAUACUAAGCUUAAGGGAUGGUACUGUAGCAUCCUUAGUACAAUCCUUUUGUAAAAGCUUGCCUCUGCAAGUCCUCUUUCUAACAGCAGGGUCACGGGCUAGUUAAACUCUCUUUUCAUCAUUACGGAAAACCAUCCCAUGCUGAUAAAACAACAGGUCUUUUUUGUUUCGUUAAGUGAACUACUAAGGUAGAAGUCUAAAUCCCAUUUUCUAGCUAAGGAGUAUUAGCAAAAAUUAGAUUCAUCUGUCCUCCCAAAUCAUUUGAUGAAAAUGGAAUUCAGCCUUCUAAAACAGUAAGCACUUUGAAAAGUUUUACCCAAAGAAAGAUCACAUCUGACUGUGUAUCUGUAAAGUGCCUGGCAGUAUUAUGGCUCUAUAUGAAAUAUUUUUAGAUCAACCACAUUUUCUAAUAUUUUAAUCGUAUUUUGUUUAAAACAGAAAGACAGAAAGGCUCAACCUACUGAAACAUAGAGGAAAUAACAUCUUCCUACACCCUCCACUAUGUUAAAAAAGAGCAAACUUAAAAUCGAAUCUUUAAAAAUAGUAUUUUAAUGAGCUCCAACAGCUCUUUUGUUUUUAAAAAGAGGGAAGAACAUCACAUGACUUCUUUAGCUCUGAUAAAUAAUCAAAUAGUACCUAUCAUUUUAAAAUAGGGUGUUACUCCUAGAUU